Molecule: ribosomal RNA, 482 nt
Filed under: uncultured bacterium
Lineage: Bacteria
Description: partial 16S ribosomal RNA
Rfam family: Bacterial small subunit ribosomal RNA
Source: RNAcentral
AUUGAACGCUGGCGGCAGGCCUAACACAUGCAAGUCGAGCGGAUGAAGGGAGCUUGCUCCUGGAUUCAGCGGCGGACGGGUGAGUAAUGCCUAGGAAUCUGCCUGGUAGUGGGGGAUAACGUCCGGAAACGGGCGCUAAUACCGCAUACGUCCUGAGGGAGAAAGUGGGGGAUCUUCGGACCUCACGCUAUCAGAUGAGCCUAGGUCGGGUUAGCUGGUUGGUGGGGUAAAGGCCUACCAAGGCGACGAUCCGUAACUGGUCUGGGAGGAUGAUCAGACACAGUGGAACAGAGACACGGGCCACACUGCUACGGGAGGCCGCAGUGGGGAAUUUUGGACAACGGGAGAAAGCCUGAUCCAGCCAUGCCGCGUGUGAAGAAGGUCUUCGGAUUGUAAAGCACUUUAAGUUGGGAGGAAGGGCAGUAAGUUAAUACCUUGCUGUUUUGACGUUACCAACAGAAUAAGCACCGGCUAACUUCGUG